AUACGUAGGGUGCAAGCGUUAAUCGGAAUUACUGGGCGUAAAGCGUGCGCAGGCGGUUUUGUCAGACAGAGGUGAAAACCCCGGGCUCAACCUGGGAACUGCCUUUGAGAAUGAAAGGCAAGAGGACGGCAGAGGGUGAUGGAAUUCCGCGUGGAGCAGAGAAAUGCGUAGAUAUGAGGAGGAACACCGAUGGAGAAGGCAAUCCCGUGGGCCUGUACUGACGCUCAUGCACGAAAGCGUGGGGAGCAAACAGGAUUAGAUACCCUGGUAGUCCACGCCCUAAUCGAUGUCAACUGGUUGUUGGGUCUUCAUUGACUCAGUAACGAAGCUAACGCGUGAAGUUGACCGCCUGGGGAGUACGGCCGCAAGGUUGAAACUCAAAUGAAUUGACGGGG
Molecule: ribosomal RNA, 395 nt
Filed under: uncultured bacterium
Lineage: Bacteria
Description: partial 16S ribosomal RNA
Rfam family: Bacterial small subunit ribosomal RNA
Source: RNAcentral